RNAcentral lists this ribosomal RNA (446 nucleotides) under uncultured bacterium. RNAcentral describes it as "partial 16S ribosomal RNA". It matches the Rfam family "Bacterial small subunit ribosomal RNA", at positions 43 to 523 of the family's 1533-position model. The record is from RNAcentral.
CAUGCUUAACACAUGCAAGUCGAACGGCCUUAUGGGGCUUGCUCCAUAAGAUAGUGGCAGACGGGUGAGUAACUCGUGGGAACGUACCCUAAGGUUCGGAAUAACAGUUGGAAACGACUGAUAAUACCGGAUAUCUCCGAGAGGAGAAAGAUUUAUCGCCGAAGGAGGGGCCCGCGUCUGAUUAGCUAGUUGGUGAGGUAAUGGCUCACCAAGGCGACGAUCAGUAGCUGGUCUGAGAGGAUGAUCAGCCACACUGGGACUGAGACACGGCCCAGACUCCUACGGGAGGCAGCAGUGGGGAAUAUUGGACAAUGGGGGCAACCCUGAUCCAGCAAUGCCGCGUGAGUGAUGAAGGCCUUCGGGUUGUAAAGCUCUUUUGGCAGGGACGAUGAUGACGGUACCUGCAGAAUAAGCCCCGGCUAACUUCGUGCCAGCAGCCGCCGCGG